AUGUGUGAAGAGCAUGACAAUGGAUGCAAACACCCUGGUCUUACUCUUCCAGAAGAAAAAGGGAAAACCGAACCUGAAUGUCCCCUGAAAGUGAAGAAAUGUCCACACUUCUAUGUGCAGAUUGGUCAAAAGGAGAUACUGGGGCUUAGAGCCCCUCUUGGUUUAAUAUAUGUGCUCUGGGGUAUUUUCCGGUGACCGUCUUCAACAAGCAAGAAAAGAGAAAAAACAACUUGGUUGAGAGUUAUGUUCCUGCUAUGUAUUAUCUACCUAUGCAUGUAAUAUUGAAGAUUUCAUUCAAUGGGUUAUAGCAACUCAUAGCAAACUGGCAGCAGAAAUAGUCUUUGAUUUUUAAAUAAAAGUUCUCUAACUGAAACUUUUUGAUACUGGAAUUAUCUUCCUUUCCCUUUCUAUUAUUCUCUUAUUGAGUUAUAAGGAAACAGAAAAUAGAGAGAUUCAGCCCAGCAGUAUGCUUUUUUUUGUUUUGUUUUUUGAGGCAGGGUCACACUCCGUCACCCAGGCUGGAGUGCGGUGGCCCCAUCUUGGCGCACUGUAAUCUCCGCCUCCUAGGUUCAAGUGAUUCUCCUGUCUCAGCAUCCCAAGUAGCUGGGAUUACAGGCAUGUGCCAUGAGGCCCACCUAAUUUUUGUAUUUUUAGUAGAGAAGGGGUUUCACCAUGUUGGCCAGGCUGGUCUCAAAUCCCUGGCCUCAAGUGAUCUGCCCACCUUGGCCUCCCAAAGUUCUGGGAUUAUAGGCAUGAGCCACUGUGCCCAGCCAACAGUAUACUUUUAAUGGAGUAAAGUGAGACCCAAGUUGUCUCAUUCUAAGUCACACUAGAAUAAAAUUUAUAUAGAAUUUAUAAAGAAUAAGAUAUUGGCAAGGACUCUGAGAUAGAUGGCACUGUUAUUUGGAAUUGCUUACUCUCAUACUUAGAGAGAGUGAAUACAUCACUGCCCAUUGCCAUGUGAUGUGCAAUGCUCCUUCCUGAGAGAGUCUUACUUUUGCUUCAUUCAUGCCUUAUUUACAGAAUGCCUUGGCCAUAUGAGUAGCUCUGAAUAUGAGUAGCUCUGACCAGUGAAAUAGGAGUAAACGUGAUGUAUAGCAUUGCUCACUGGAAGCCUGUAGAGCAUUCAUUGCAUGGUUGCAGCAUUGCUUUUCUUCUUUCAUAAGAUCAAAAUAGGGCUGUUCUUUAAGCCUUGGUCCAGCAGUGAAGACAAUAAGAGGCAAAGCCGCAACUGAACAGUGAAGGAUGAGUAACAUGUGCAAGAAAUAAACCGUUGUUGCUGUAAGGUUGUUGCCACUAAGAUUGUUGGGGUUGUUUAUUACUGCAAAAUAACCUAGAAAAACUAUUAGCAAACUUAAUGUAAACUCAAAAAAGAACUAAAGCACUCAUAUGAAUAAUUGUGCCUCUUAACACUCACAUUCUAAGAUAAGCUUCCUCCCUGCUUUUUUCUCCUUUUCUUUCAUUUUUUUCUUCAUUCAUGUUUGUGUGUGUGUACACACAUACAUAAAAAUUUGGUCAUCCAUAGUAAAAUCAAAUGUGCUUUUAAUAACUUUAGAACUGAUCAUUUCAAAAUACUGAGCAUUCUUAAGCUGAAAUUGAAACUUGGAAAAAACCACCACAAAGCUAACCUUAAAAAUGGAAAUAAAACAACCAAAAAUGAAGAUGGAGUCAAUUAGAUCUUGGAAUUGCUAGGGCAAACAAAAGAAAAGUUUUAAUUUUCUGUUUCCUGAAUGUUCAAUUUUCUUUUCUCUUUCUCUCCCUUGUUCAAUAAAAUGAGAAAAACUCUAUGACUAUAUUUUAUUUUCACCAUUAUUAUACACAAGGUAGUAAGAAUACUAAUGCAACCAAGAAUGAUUUAAGUCUAUCUCUAUGCCAUUCAUGGAAAGAAAAUCAAUAACCAUCCUGAAAUUGAUAAUGUAAUACUUCUCUAUUAGAUAUGAUAUCACUAGUAAUAUUUCUGCUUAGUCAAGGAGGGGAAAAUGACUCAUUUGCUCAUCUACUCUUCUUUUUUCUCAUCAAUUCUUUCUCUUGUCAGGACUGUGCUUUCCCUGGACAUGAUGAAAACACAAGAUUGAGUGCCAUCCUAUUUAUUGUUAUGGUUUUCCUAAUCUAAACUAAGCCUACUUUUGAAAUUUCCUGGAUGAAAAGGUGGUUAAAUCCCAAAUGCUUAUGGUUCUUCAAAAAUAUAAACAUUCUUUCCCUCUGGGAUAAUAGAAAGCAUACUUUUAGAAUGAUUCUCUUGGUAUUAAUUCAUAUGCUCUAUUUGAUUUUUUCCAAACUGGUAUUUAUUCAGUGGUCAUGCAACUUUAGAAAUUAAGCUAACAAAUGAUAAU
Molecule: long non-coding RNA, 2333 nt
Organism: Macaca mulatta (Rhesus monkey)
Lineage: Eukaryota; Metazoa; Chordata; Mammalia; Primates; Cercopithecidae
Source: Ensembl